AGGAAGAGAAAGGAGAGGCUUAGAAACCUGUGUAUAGUAACAUGUUUAGUUAGAGAUGUGUGAACUUACAGUAAAUUUAAUUUGUCAUGAACUUCUUGGCUCGGCAGUUGACGACUUUUCCUGCAUAAAUUAGCUCAGCCUUCAGGUGCUCCCGUGGGCUGGAAAAGGCAUCAACUGCCGAGAAGUUCGUGACGUAUCUAAUUUACUGUAAGUUCGCUCAUCUCUAGUUCUAGUGGCACAGCUUAAUAGAACAUCACUGCCCCAGUUUCUCAGGAGCUCAUAAUUUCGGCCUAGUGUGCAGCUAUAUUAAUAAGCCUAAAACAUUGGUCCAGAGCCAUAUCCAUCCAUUUCUUUUUAAUCAUAAAGGAAAACCCUGACAAGCGUACAACAAGGCAUCAGUACUAGUCUGCAAAUGCCAAGACACAAGCACUGUAGAUAAGGAAUACACCGAAUUGCAUGGCUGAAAUGUUAACUAUAAAUGUAAGUCAGACCCUUACUGUAUUUUGGUCAAAACGUGUUUCCCCAUUCACCAUACAGAGGUGGCCAAAUUGCAAAUAGGACCCCAACAUUCUAUCGACUUUUUUUGGGCCACCACUGUGCUGAUAUUAGGGGGUGUAAUGGUACAUUUAUCACAAUCUGUACUAAGCCUCAAAAUUAGUUCUAUUUUAAUAUAGCAACAAUGCAAGUCUAUUGCAUAUGUACAGUGCUGAUGUGCCGCAGUGUGAGCGGCUGUUACAACCUUUGUAUGUUUUGCAAUAGCAGCGUGCACCUACAUAUCCAACGGAGGUGUCAACUAUAGUUCAUUGUAUAGGACACUGACAAGCUACAUGCAACAGUACCCAUCAAUGCCAGGGUAUUUAAGACCCAUGAGUCCACAUCCCUGCUCCCCAUGACCAUAAGCCUCAGUAUUUUUUCUAUGUUGUCAGAAAUCACUUCUGUCCACUACUCUUGAACCAUCAUCGGCUUAUGUCAGAUGUUACAAUGAGUAAAAUACACAGGGAUGUUACACUCCUCCAGCUGUGGAAUUACAGAGCAGUCUGAACCUGGCUACAUAAGCUACUAAAAGGCUAUUCAGGAGAAUCGGCUGGGUAUUUAUAGUUGCACAACGUACACGGCUUUCUUUAGUAAUGACUGCCGCUAGAAGUGACAGCCUCCCACCAGUGUAUUGAUAGGUCUCAUGCAUUAGAUUACAAUAUACACUGUCAGUAUCAUUGUGUACACUGCAGCCCCUAGCAUAGCAAGGCAUUUAAAGGAGAUCUCUAGUCUUGAACGACCAGGGAUCCAACUGCUAAGACCCCUGCAGUCUCCCGGAAGCCUCGCGGGGGGGGGGGGGGGGGUGUUUACCACCGCACGAAGCAGUGGCUAAAACACCCCC
Molecule: long non-coding RNA, 1375 nt
Organism: Hyla sarda
Lineage: Eukaryota; Metazoa; Chordata; Amphibia; Anura; Hylidae
Exons: 2
Source: RefSeq, a predicted model, not a curated record